This 756-nucleotide ribosomal RNA is filed under the name uncultured bacterium. Its description in RNAcentral is "bacterial SSU rRNA". It matches the Rfam family "Bacterial small subunit ribosomal RNA", at positions 346 to 1104 of the family's 1533-position model. The record is from RNAcentral.
AGGCAGCAGUGGGGAAUAUUGGGCAAUGGCCGAGAGGCUGACCCAGCCAUGCCGCGUGCAGGAUGAAGGCUUUCUGAGUCGUAAACUGCUUUUACCAGGGAAGAAAAAAGGGGAUGCGUCCCCUACUGACGGUACCUGGUGAAUAAGCACCGGCUAACUCCGUGCCAGCAGCCGCGGUAAUACGGAGGGUGCAAGCGUUGUCCGGAUUUAUUGGGUUUAAAGGGUGCGUAGGCGGCCGAUUAAGUCUGGGGUGAAAGCCCGUUGCUCAACAACGGAACUGCCCCGGAAACUGGUUGGCUUGAGUACAGACGAGGGUGGCGGAAUGGACGGUGUAGCGGUGAAAUGCAUAGAUACCGUCCAGAACCCCGAUUGCGAAGGCAGCUGCCUAGACUGUAACUGACGCUGAGGCACGAAAGCGUGGGGAGCGAACAGGAUUAGAUACCCUGGUAGUCCACGCCGUAAACGAUGGAUACUCGCUGCUGGCGAUACAAUGUCAGUGGCUUAGCGAAAGCGUUAAGUAUCCCACCUGGGGAGUACGCUCGCAAGAGUGAAACUCAAAAGAAUUGACGGGGGCCCGCACAAGUGGUGGAGCAUGUGGUUUAAUUCGAUGACACGCGAGGAACCUUACCUAGGCUAGAAUGCGCGUGACCGGCCCAGAGAUGGGCCUUUCCUUCGGGACACAAAGCAAGGUGCUGCAUGGCCGUCGUCAGCUCGUGCCGUGAGGUGUUGGGUUAAGUCCCGCAACGAGCGCAACCC